Molecule: non-coding RNA, 108 nt
Organism: Acanthosepion pharaonis
Lineage: Eukaryota; Metazoa; Mollusca; Cephalopoda; Sepiida; Sepiidae
Source: the annotation of a GenBank genome assembly
GCCACAUCAUGUUGAAACACUGAGUCUCAUACAAUCACUGAAGUUAAGCAAUGCUGAGCCUGGUUAGUAUGUACAUGGGAGACUGCUUAGGAAUGCCAGGUGCUGUAA